CCUACCUCCACUGUUCUACUACCUGCCUAUUCAUCUAUCCUACUGAUAGGGACCAAAUUGUUCCAUUCAGCUUCCUCUUCAAAGGAGUGAAUCUGCCUGGCAAGAACUCCUGUCUGCCCUGAGAAAAAGAGGAUUCAUCAGGAAUGGCUCAACUUUUUCUUAAGUGCGAUGAACCAAUCACCAUAAGGACACGAAAAUGAAUUUUCCAUCUCUGGAGGCUAUCCCAGUAAGAAAAGCUUGAAUAAACAAACCUCAAAGCUAUUUUACAAGCCAGUGCUGGUGUCUGAACUCUGGGAAUAAACUGGGUAUAUUUGUGCUGCA
Molecule: long non-coding RNA, 321 nt
Organism: Mauremys reevesii (Reeves's turtle)
Lineage: Eukaryota; Metazoa; Chordata; Testudines; Geoemydidae
Exons: 3
Source: RefSeq, a predicted model, not a curated record